Calidris pygmaea (Spoon-billed sandpiper) is the source of this 138-nucleotide small nucleolar RNA. The record is from Ensembl. NCBI's taxonomy places the organism in Eukaryota, Metazoa, Chordata, Aves, Charadriiformes, Scolopacidae.
UGCAGCUGCGUCAAAUUCAGUCCUUGGCCAGCCAGUGCUGGGGACUGGCCAAAAAGCUGCCACAGCAAAAUCUGUAGCUCCCGAGCCCCACUGUCCCUCUCCCAUGACCCUGGGGAUAAAUAAAUGCUCCAGACACCG